This 530-nucleotide ribosomal RNA is filed under the name Bifidobacterium pseudocatenulatum. RNAcentral's name for it is "bacterial SSU rRNA". It matches the Rfam family "Bacterial small subunit ribosomal RNA", at positions 154 to 696 of the family's 1533-position model. The record is from RNAcentral. Lineage: Bacteria; Bacillati; Actinomycetota; Actinomycetes; Bifidobacteriales; Bifidobacteriaceae.
AAACGGGUGGUAAUGCCGGAUGCUCCGACUCCUCGCAUGGGGUGUCGGGAAAGAUUUCAUCGGUAUGGGAUGGGGUCGCGUCCUAUCAGGUAGUCGGCGGGGUAACGGCCCACCGAGCCUACGACGGGUAGCCGGCCUGAGAGGGCGACCGGCCACAUUGGGACUGAGAUACGGCCCAGACUCCUACGGGAGGCAGCAGUGGGGAAUAUUGCACAAUGGGCGCAAGCCUGAUGCAGCGACGCCGCGUGCGGGAUGACGGCCUUCGGGUUGUAAACCGCUUUUGAUCGGGAGCAAGCCUUCGGGUGAGUGUACCUUUCGAAUAAGCACCGGCUAACUACGUGCCAGCAGCCGCGGUAAUACGUAGGGUGCAAGCGUUAUCCGGAAUUAUUGGGCGUAAAGGGCUCGUAGGCGGUUCGUCGCGUCCGGUGUGAAAGUCCAUCGCUUAACGGUGGAUCUGCGCCGGGUACGGGCGGGCUGGAGUGCGGUAGGGGAGACUGGAAUUCCCGGUGUAACGGUGGAAUGUGUAGAUA